RNAcentral lists this ribosomal RNA (2943 nucleotides) under Triticum aestivum (bread wheat). Its description in RNAcentral is "partial small subunit ribosomal RNA". The record is from RNAcentral. Lineage: Eukaryota; Viridiplantae; Streptophyta; Magnoliopsida; Poales; Poaceae.
AUGGAGGCGCUUUCUGAGAUUCGUGCUGAGGAGACUCGCUUACGUGGGGCUGGUUUGCUGGAGGUUCCCUCUGUGCUCGCUACUCGUGCUCCUACGCCACCUGCUGCACCGACCCCCUCUCGCUCGAGUGCUCCGCCGCUCUUGCCCACUCCUUCUGGAGGCUCAGGUCGCCCCCGUCCACAUUGCGACUAUUGCAACAAUGAUGGUCAUCUUGAGUCUCAGUGCUACACGAAGAAGAAACACCUGCGCAAGGCGCGAUCAUCAUCUUCAGGGACUUCGUCAUCUACCUCGACAGCUUCAGCCAUUGCUUUGACUGACCAAGAUAUUCUGAGACUUAAGCGUCUGCUCGCGGCUUCAGGUUCUUCCUCGACGGGUACUGCUGGUUCUGUGACUGAUGCUUCCCGCACUGAGCAAUCACCCUCUACACAGUCAGGUACAUCCCCAUGGGUUCUGGACUCUGGAGCUUCUUUUCAUAUGUCUUCUCAUUCUUCCACUUUGUCCUCUCUUCGAUCACUGGAUUCUCCUGUUCAUGUCUUCACUGCUGAUGGUACUCCACUUUCUGUUGCUAGUAGAGUCAAUCUUACCACUCCUUCUUAUUCUGUUCCUGAUGUUGCUCAUGUUCCUCGACUUACCAUGAAUCUGUUUUCUGCUGGUCAACUUACUGAUUCUGGUUGUCGUGUCAUCCUUGACGUUGACUCUUGUUCUGUCCAGGACCGUCGCACGCACACUCUGGUUGGGGCUGGCCCUCGCCGCCGUGAUUCUCAGGGUCUUUGGGAGUUGGACUGGCUUCAUGUUCCUUCCGCUGCCACCACCAUCGCCAGUUCUUCCGCUUCUGUCGCCUCCGUUACUGGUUCCUUCCAGCAGUGGCAUCAUCGACUUGGUCAUCUGUGUGGUUCUCGGUUGUCUUCUUUAGUUCGUCGAGGUCUUCUGGGGUCUGUCUCAGGAGAUGUCUCUUUAGAGUGUCAGGGUUGUCGUCUUGGCAAGCAGAUUCAGUUACCAUAUUCACAUAGUGAGUCAGUGUCCAAGCGUCCUUUCGAUUUAGUCCAUUCUGAUGUAUGGGGUCCGGCCCCUUUCGCUUCGAAAGGUGGUCAUAAAUACUAUAUUAUUUUCAUAGAUGAUUUCUCUCGUUACACAUGGCUUUAUUUCAUGACUUCUCGUUCUGAGGUGUUGUCUAUUUAUAAGCAUUUUGCUGCCAUGGUUCAUACUCAGUUCUCUUCACCCAUUCGUGUUUUUCGUGUUGACUCCGCUGGCGAGUAUAUCUCUAAGAUGUUGCGUGGUGUUCUUGCUGAGCAAGGGACUCUCUCUCAAUUCUCUUGUCCUGGUGCUCAUGCUCAGAAUGGUGUGGCUGAGCGAAAGCAUCGACAUCUUCUUGAGACGGCUCGUGCAUUGAUGAUUGCUGCCUCUCUCCCGCCUCAUUUUUGGGCUGAGGCCGUCUCCACAUCCACCUAUCUUAUCAAUAUACAGCCUUCCGCUGCUCUACAGGGUGGUGUUCCUUUCGAGCGACUUUUUGAUCGUUCUCCCGAUUAUUCGAUGCUUCGCUCGUUUAGUUGUGUUUGCUAUGUUCUUCUUGCCCCUCGCGAACGCACCAAACUGACCGCUCAGUCUGUUGAGUGUGUCUUCUUAGGCUACAGUGAUGAGCAUAAGGGCUAUCGUUGUUGGGAUCCAAUCGGUCAUCGGAUGCGUAUCUCUCGAGACGUGACUUUUGAUGAGUCUCGUCCCUUCUACCCACGCCCAUCUUCCUCGACUUUUUCAGUGCAUGAUAUCUCUUUCCUCACUUUUCCUGACUCACCUAUCACCCCCGUCGAGCCUGUACCUCUCCGUUCCACUUCCUCUCCUUCUCCACCUCUAGUUGAUUUGCAGCCACCAUCCUCCCCGGUCUCCUCUCCUAGCAUGUCACCGGGUUCUCCACCUUCAUCUCCGGUGACUUCCUCCCCGGUCUCCUCUCCCAGCAUGUCACCGGAUUCUACACCUUCAUCUCCGGUGACUUCUUCGUCGCCACCCCCCGAUUCUACCUUGACGAUUCCUCCUUCUAUUAUUUCAUCUUUUCCUCAGCAUUACACUUGUCGUCCACGACCAGUCGAUGCCUCUGUGGAUGAGUCGUCAUCUUCCUCUCAGCCUACUUAUGGCUUGCGUUCUCGUCCUCGUCCGCUUGUUGAUCGCUUUGGAUUUCCCACCGCUGGUGCUGCUGUUCUUGAGCCGACUUCUUACCGUCAGGCUGUUGUUCAUCCUGAAUGGCAGUUUGCGAUGGCAGAGGAGAUUGCUGCUCUUGAACGCACUGGUACCUGGGAUCUUGUUUCUCUUCCUCCCGGAGUCCGUCCGAUCACUUGUAAGUGGGUCUACAAGGUUAAGACUCGCUCCGAUGGUUCUCUUGAGCGUCACAAAGCUCGUCUUGUGGCUCGUGGUUUUCAGCAGGAGCACGGUCGUGAUUAUGACGAGACUUUUGCUCCUGUGGCCCAUAUGACCACUGUUCGUACACUUCUUGCCGUUGCCUCUGCACGCCACUGGUCUAUAUCUCAGCUUGAUGUUAAGAAUGCCUUUCUUAAUGGUGAGCUGCGUGAGGAGGUGUACAUGCAGCCACCACCUGGGUAUUCUGUUCCUGAUGGCAUGGUAUGUCGUCUUCGUCGCUCUCUCUAUGGCCUUAAGCAAGCCCCCCGCGCCUGGUUUGAGCGCUUUGCCUCUGUGAUCACUGCUGCUGGUUUUUCAGCAAGUGCUCAUGAUCCAGCAUUGUUUAUUCACCUUUCUCCUCGUGGUCGGACUCUUCUUCUUCUCUAUGUUGAUGACAUGAUCAUCACGGGGGAUGACCCCGAGUAUAUUGCCUUUGUAAAGGCCCGUCUUAGUGAGCAGUUUCUUAUGUCUGAUCUUGGACCUCUUCGCUACUUUCUUGGGAUUGAAGUCUCUUCUACCUCUGAUGGCUUUUUUAUAUCCCAGGAAAAGUAUAUCUAG